RNAcentral lists this ribosomal RNA (482 nucleotides) under uncultured bacterium. RNAcentral's name for it is "bacterial SSU rRNA". It matches the Rfam family "Bacterial small subunit ribosomal RNA", at positions 31 to 507 of the family's 1533-position model. The record is from RNAcentral.
GAACGCUAGCGGCAGGCCUAACACAUGCAAGUCGAGGGGCAGCACGUCUUCGGAUGGUGGCGACCGGCGCACGGGUGCGUAACGCGUAUGCAACCUACCUCUUACAGUGGGAUAGCCCAGAGAAAUUUGGAUUAAUACCGCAUAGUAUGCGACAUCAGCAUUGAUGACGUAUUAAACAUUCAUGGGUAAGAGAUGGGCAUGCGUUCUAUUAGCUAGUUGGUGAGGUAAAGGCUCACCAAGGCGACGAUCCUUAGCUGGUCUGAGAGGAUGAUCAGCCACACUGGGACUGAGACACGGCCCAGACUCCUACGGGAGGCAGCAGUGGGGAAUAUUGCGCAAUGGGCGAAAGCCUGACGCAGCCAUGCCGCGUGUGUGAAGAAGGCCUUAGGGUUGUAAAGCACUUUCAAUUGGGAAGAAAAGUUGGUCGUUAAUAGCGGCCAGCCCUGACAUUACCUUUAGAAGAAGGACCGGCUAACUCCGUG